Acanthosepion pharaonis is the source of this 112-nucleotide non-coding RNA. Lineage: Eukaryota; Metazoa; Mollusca; Cephalopoda; Sepiida; Sepiidae. The record is from the annotation of a GenBank genome assembly.
UUAUGGCUAUAUCACGUUGAAACACCGGUUCCCAUACGAUCAUCGAAGUUAAGCAAAUUGAGCGUAGUCAGUACCUAGAUGGGUGACCGCCUGGGAAUACCAGUGCUGUAAG